RNAcentral lists this long non-coding RNA (749 nucleotides) under Hordeum vulgare. RNAcentral describes it as "long non-coding RNA (HVUL_LNC001023)". Lineage: Eukaryota; Viridiplantae; Streptophyta; Magnoliopsida; Poales; Poaceae. The record is from RNAcentral.
CCACCCCGUGUCCUUCUCCCUCCUCCCUUACUCUGUCUUCUCUCACCUUUCUCCCUAUCUCUCGCAGGAGACAACCAUGAAUGCCCGAGGAUCUCCCGCGUCCAAACGAAGAAGUUCAAUCAAGCCACACCCUCUGUCGUCGCCAUUAUGCACCGGCAGCUCGCCGAAGCCAGCAGUAGCCACCAGGACCUCGUGGAGCUCACCAUCGCCAGGAGUGCCGUCGCCUUCAACUUCAUCGGACCAGCAGGACCGUGUCCAUCCUGCUCCAUCAUCCCCUUUGUUUCCUUCCUUUCACCCCGGUCUCUCCCAUCUCUAUUUCUUCUCUCCCUUUUCUCAUCUCUCUAUGUUCUCUGUAGUUAGCAGCAGCAGCGCAUGAAGAUUCAACCAAACCAGGACCCGAUGUCGAGCCACGUCGAGCUUCUCGUCCAAUAUUGGGCCUUCCUCAAGCCCUCUGCCUCGCUGGUGGCCCCAGCUGCGCCAACGUUUGGUUUUCUUGCUCAGUUCGCUGAAUUUGCAAUGUACCUGUUUUGCCUUAGUUCAAAAACUCGUGACCCUGUGGCUGUUCAAACGUACCCCUCUAGCCGAGAUGGUAAUCGCUGCUUAGAGAAUCCCGUGCUAUAUCAAAGGCAGAGUAGUAGUCUAGUUCGCUAGUGCAGCAGGUUUUCCACCAUGAGGUCCACACAUCAAAUUUUUCCACGGCCUCUCUUUUAUUUUCACCCUUUGUAUUUAUUUUCUUUUGCAUGUNNNNN